Molecule: ribosomal RNA, 464 nt
Filed under: Vreelandella stevensii
Lineage: Bacteria; Pseudomonadati; Pseudomonadota; Gammaproteobacteria; Oceanospirillales; Halomonadaceae
Description: partial 16S ribosomal RNA
Rfam family: Bacterial small subunit ribosomal RNA
Source: RNAcentral
CCUACGGGAGGCUGCAGUGGGGAAUAUUGGACAAUGGGGGCAACCCUGAUCCAGCCAUGCCGCGUGUGUGAAGAAGGCCCUCGGGUUGUAAAGCACUUUCAGCGAGGAAGAACGCCUGUACGUUAAUACCCAUUAGGAAUGACAUCACUCACAGAAGAAGCACCGGCUAACUCCGUGCCAGCAGCCGCGGUAAUACGGAGGGUGCGAGCGUUAAUCGGAAUUACUGGGCGUAAAGCGCGCGUAGGUGGCUUGAUAAGCCGGUUGUGAAAGCCCGGGCCUAACCUGGGAACGGCAUCCGGAACUGGGAAGCUAGAGUGCAGGAGAGGAAGGUAGAAUUCCCGGUGUAGCGGUGAAAUGCGUAGAUAUCGGGAGGAAUACCAGUGGCGAAGGCGGCCUUCUGGACUGACACUGACGCUGAGGUGCGAAAGCGUGGGUAGCAAACAGGAUUAGAUACCCGUGUAGUC